GCUUUCCUCUUAUACGUGUACGUUAGCCAACCGUGGAAUUUAAUUUACAAGCGUCGAUAGGAGGAGAAGGGGGAAAAAAAGGAUAAUUAAGACGCGACUGCUUUAAUGGCAAAAAGCGGAAGAUCGAGUCGAGUGAUGACGGCCCUGACCGAAUUUCUUCGCACUUGGACGUCGAUCCCCGAAGAUUGUGAAGCUUUUUUAAAAAUUCCGAGUAUUCCAAAUUUCCGCUUUCUUAUAACCUCGUUGCACGUUUCGAUUCUUAUAUAUAUAUGUUAUUACAAUUUAUCAAUUUUUCCCUCGAUAAUACAAUUAUUCAUAUUUUAAAGAGGGAGAGGGAAGUGCGAACCUAACCUCUCCGAGAUUCUUCUUCUCGAUUCUUUGUUGUCGCAUCUGUCGCAUAACCUAUAACCAGCAACCAGAGUCUAUUUUAAGGGAAGAGCGAUGGUAUCGGAAAAAAAGAAAUUGAUCGUGGACAAAUGUUAAAUAACUUGUGAGUGUAAUAUGAAAUACGGAUAAUGCAUCUUUGUACCGAAAAGGAUUUACCUCUAUGCGAAAGAAGCCGUGGAGCGUGGUGAACGCGAAAUACCUUCCUCCACCCGAGGAACCCUAAAUGAUGCGGAGCACCGAACUCUCGGUAUUGCAGUAAGAGAGGAGAGAAGUGGCUUGCAACCGGUUUCAACAAACUAAAGCUAAAUAAAGUCAUGUAGCGGCGCGAACGAAGGAAAUCGUUCUGCCGAUAAUUGCGCCCACGAAAAACUUUUCGAGCUUGGCCGCGGAACGAUCAUUACAUGCGAUAAUAUUUAAAAACAAGCGAUCAUCAUCAUCAUCAUUAUCGAGUUUCCAUCUGUGAUGAUAUACUACGGUGUAUAAUAAACCUGUUAACAAAUUAAUAAUAAUAAGUUUCGUUUCGUUUAAAUGAGAAAUAAGAAUCGAUUCGUGCAAGAGUGAUUAAAUUAAAUUAAUGGAUUAAUUCGAUCUUUUCGUUUAUUUUUUUGAAAAGAUCGAUUCGUCGUUGAAAACGAAUAAAUAAAUUUAGCUUCGACAUUGACAAUGAUCGAGUGGGUUGUCGUUUAUCUCAGAUUUGAUUACAGAGCGGAACUGUCGUAAUUCGCAUUCCGGAAUUAAUUUUCAAGGAACAAGUUCUCGGGUUUGAUACGUUGAUAAGUCGACCCUUCCACGGCGAUUCAUUUGAAUAUAAAUCCGGCUGUCUACACACGUUGAAAAUCUCAGGAACGAAUACGGGAUAAGAAGGAUGGGGAACUAAGAGGAACCAAGAAACGAGUCGGACGAAGAGAGGUAGAAGAAGGAGACGAAACGAAGAAUUCUUUUUUCGUUGCACAUUGUAACCGCAAACCGCGGUGGUCGACCAUGCAGGAUAUUUUUUAUUCACCUUAUUUUGGGUUCCUCCGCGCGUUUGACUUUCUUCUUUUAUAUCGUUUUAAUAUACGCGCACGAAUAGAGUUUGCAAGCGUGUACUUGUGCGUAUACAGUUUCUUCGUAACUUUAUUUCAGAAUAUCGUGGUAAAUGCGAAAUAUGAAUACACUUGUAAUUGCAUCUGCAAAAAGAAUUAAUAAAUUUUUAGAACGUAAAUGCGAAAAUAUAUAAUUUAAUAGAAGGAUUAUAAUUAAGAAAAUUAAAUUUAAGUAAUUUUUAAGAAAUAAUUUAAAUAACCCGAUGUAUAAGUACGAUGUAAGAGAGGAUAAUAAAUAUCGAACUCAAGGAUAUAAUAUCGUUUCAUGAGUUCGAUGACCCGAAACCAUGAAAGAUUUUUAAAAA
This is a long non-coding RNA of Apis cerana (Asiatic honeybee), 1777 nucleotides long. RefSeq lists it as uncharacterized. The record is from RefSeq and is a predicted model, not a curated record. Lineage: Eukaryota; Metazoa; Arthropoda; Insecta; Hymenoptera; Apidae.